UACAGAGGGCUCAAUCGUUGUUCGGAUUCAUUGGGCGUAAAGGGUGCGUAGGUGGCGGGGUAAGUCUGGUGUGAAAUCUCCGGGCUCAACUCCGAAACUGCACUGGAUACUGCCUUGCUCGAGUACUGGAGAGGAGAUUGGAAUUUACGGUGUAGCAGUGAAAUGCGUAGAUAUCGUAAGGAAGACCAGUGGCGAAGGCGAAUCUCUGGACAGUUUCUGACACUGAGGCACGAAGGCCAGGGGAGAAAACGGG
Molecule: ribosomal RNA, 253 nt
Filed under: uncultured bacterium
Lineage: Bacteria
Description: partial 16S ribosomal RNA
Rfam family: Bacterial small subunit ribosomal RNA
Source: RNAcentral